CCCCUUUGGCGGAGGACGGGAUGGGAUGGGAUGGGAUGGGGGCGGAGCAAGGCUGGAGGCAGGCCUGAGCGGAGAUCUUUGCCAAUCACUUCGAGUCACCUAGCUCCCAGCCUUGUCCACGGAUCCGUGGCCUAAUUCUUUCCACGUGAUAGACCCUUUUAACGAAUUGCAUAAUUGUUGGGCUUCUCUUCCCUCUUUUGGACAACGGCAGUGUUAUCUGAGCUUCCUUUCCUUUCCUGUUACCCACUUAAGGAGGCCUUCCCCGACCCCUCCCCUUUCUGGGUUUGCUAGACUUCUUUGAGUUCCCUUCAUAACCUAUGCGUUUUCCUGACGCUGAACUCUUUCUUAUUUUUCUGUCUUCUCCACUAGUCUUCUAAAGACCUAGAUAUCUGCUCGCAUCUUCAGAUCAAUCCCUCACCUUCUUCACCCAGCUCUGGGCUUGGAGGCUGACCCGCAGGGACCGUGUCAACAGUUUCCCUUACCUCUGGCUUUCUAUUGGGUUCGGCCAAUGAGAAGCAUAGGCAGAAGACCAGAGGGAAGUAGGAGUGUGAACUUAGGGAGUUUGAAAUUGGUAUGCUAUGGGAUGUGAGUCAUUUCUCCGCUGGAACAGGCAGACACUCAAGCUAGGCAGCAGUUGUCUUCUCCCAUGUAUGUGAAGAAGCAAAGAAAGAUGAUGGGCAGAGAGAAUAGGUUGAAGUCAGAGGACGGAGGAAAGCAGAGAGAGAAGACCAUGUUUCCAGAGAAAGACCCUGAGAUAGUGGCUGCCCUGUUUCGGUCAGCUUUGGAGGCCCAGUUGCUUUCUUGCUCUAGGGUUUUGUGGGAUAGCCUUGCAUCCUUAUAAUAAACUGUUUUUUCC
RNAcentral lists this long non-coding RNA (856 nucleotides) under Equus caballus (horse). Its description in RNAcentral is "lncRNA (ENSECAG00000056895.1)". Lineage: Eukaryota; Metazoa; Chordata; Mammalia; Perissodactyla; Equidae. The record is from RNAcentral.